CCUACGGGAGGCAGCAGUGGGGAAUCUUGCGCAAUGGGCGAAAGCCUGACGCAGCAACGCCGCGUGCGGGAUGAAGGCCUUCGGGCUGUAAACCGCUUUCAGCAGGAACGAAAAUGACGGUACCUGCAGAAGAAGGAGCGGCCAACUACGUGCCAGCAGCCGCGGUGACACGUAGGCUCCAAGCGUUGUCCGGAUUUAUUGGGCGUAAAGAGCUCGUAGGCGGUCUAAUAAGUCGGGUGUGAAAACUCUGGGCUCAACCCGGAGACGCCAUCCGAUACUGUUAUGAACUUGAGUUCAGGAGGGGAGCGGGGAAUUCCGUAGUGUAGCGGUGAAAUGCGCAGAUAUUAGGAGGAACACCGGUGGCGAAGGCGCCGCUCUGGACUGAAACUGACGCUGAGAGCGAAAGCAUGGGUAGCAAACAGGAUUAGAUACCCUGGUAGUCCAUAGACGUAACGGACGGCGACUAGUAGUGGUUACGUAACUAACGUAACGUACCGCGCCGUCGACUACGCAUAAGUCGCCCGCCGUCGGGUAGGUACGGUCGCGAACGAACGUAAACGUUAAAGGUAAGUAGUAACGGUCGUAGUUAGACGUAGCGAGGACGACGACGAGGAGGAGGAG
Molecule: ribosomal RNA, 621 nt
Filed under: uncultured bacterium
Lineage: Bacteria
Description: bacterial SSU rRNA
Rfam family: Bacterial small subunit ribosomal RNA (bases 1-526)
Source: RNAcentral